GGUGAGUAAUGCCUGGGAAUAUGCCUUAGUGUGGGGGAUAACUAUUGGAAACGAUAGCUAAUACCGCAUAACGUCUUCGGACCAAAGAGGGGGACCUUCGGGCCUCUCGCGCUAAGAUUAGCCCAGGUGGGAUUAGCUAGUUGGUGAGGUAAAGGCUCACCAAGGCAACGAUCCCUAGCUGGUCUGAGAGGAUGAUCAGCCACACUGGAACUGAGACACGGUCCAGACUCCUACGGGAGGCAGCAGUGGGGAAUAUUGCACAAUGGGGGAAACCCUGAUGCAGCCAUGCCGCGUGUAUGAAGAAGGCCUUCGGGUUGUAAAGUACUUUCAGUCGUGAGGAAGGGUGUGUAGUUAAUAGCUGCAUACCUUGACGUUAGCGACAGAAGAAGCACCGGCUAACUCCGUGCCAGCAGCCACGGUAAUACGGAGGGUGCGAGCGUUAAUCGGAAUUACUGGGCGUAAAGCGCAUGCAGGCGGUCUGUUAAGCAAGAUGUGAAAGCCCGGGGCUCAACCUCGGAACCGCAUUUUGAACUGGCAGGCUAGAGUCUUGUAGAGGGGGGUAGAAUUUCACGUGUAGCGGUGAA
RNAcentral lists this ribosomal RNA (584 nucleotides) under uncultured bacterium. RNAcentral describes it as "bacterial SSU rRNA". It matches the Rfam family "Bacterial small subunit ribosomal RNA", at positions 105 to 685 of the family's 1533-position model. The record is from RNAcentral.